AUACGGAGGAUCCGAGCGUUAUCCGGAUUUAUUGGGUUUAAAGGGAGCGUAGGUGGACAGUUAAGUCAGUUGUGAAAGUUUGCGGCUCAACCGUAAAAUUGCAGUUGAUACUGGCUGGCUUGAGUACAGUAGAGGUGGGCGGAAUUCGUGGUGGAGCGGUGAAAUGCUUAGAUAUCACGAAGAACUCCGAUUGCGAAGGCAGCUCACUGGACUGCAACUGACACUGAUGCUCGAAAGUGUGGGUAUCAAACAGGAUUAGAUACCCUGGUAGUCCACACAGUAAACGAUGAAUACUCGCUGUUUGCGAUAUACAGUAAGCGGCCAAGCGAAAGCAUUAAGUAUUCCACCUGGGGAGUACGCCGGCAACGGUGAAACUCAAAUGAAUUGGCGGGG
RNAcentral lists this ribosomal RNA (393 nucleotides) under uncultured bacterium. RNAcentral's name for it is "partial 16S ribosomal RNA". It matches the Rfam family "Bacterial small subunit ribosomal RNA", at positions 523 to 918 of the family's 1533-position model. The record is from RNAcentral.